GAUGAACGCUGGCGGUAUGCCUUACACAUGCAAGUCGAACGAAAGCUUAGCUUUAGUGGCAAACGGGUGAGUAACACGUAAGAAUCUGCCUUCAGGAGGGAAAUAACAUUUGGAAACGAUUGCUAAUGUCCCAUAUGCUGAAAAGUGAAAUAAUUUUUGCCUGAAGAUGAGCUUGCGCCUGAUUAGCUAGUUGGUAAGGUAAUGGCUUACCAAGGCUACGAUCAGUAGCUGGUUUGAGAGGAUGAUCAGCCACACUGGAACUGAGACACGGUCCAGACUUCUACGGAAGGCAGCAGUGGGGAAUUUUCCGCAAUGGGCGAAAGCCUGACGGAGCAAUACCGCGUGAGGGAUGAAUGCCUGU
This 361-nucleotide ribosomal RNA is filed under the name uncultured cyanobacterium. RNAcentral's name for it is "bacterial SSU rRNA". It matches the Rfam family "Bacterial small subunit ribosomal RNA", at positions 28 to 419 of the family's 1533-position model. Lineage: Bacteria; Bacillati; Cyanobacteriota. The record is from RNAcentral.